CCUACGGGAGGCAGCAGUAGGGAAUAUUGCUCAAUGGGGGAAACCCUGAAGCAGCAACGCCGCGUGGAGGAUGAAGGUUUUCGGCUUGUAAACUCCUUUUGUUAGAGAAGAUAAUUACGGUAUCUAACGCAUACGCACCGGCUAACUCCGUGCCAGCAGCCGCGGUUAUACGGAGGGUGCAAGCGUUACUCGGAAUCACCGGGCGUAAAGCGCGCGUAGGCGGGAUAGCAAGUCAGUUGUGAAAUGCUAUGGGUUAACCAUAGAACUGCAUUUGAAACUGGUAUUCUAGAGUAUGGGAGAGGUAGGUGGAAUUCGUAGUGUAGGGGUAAAAUCCGUAGAGAUCAAGAGGAAUACUCAUUGCGAAGGCGACAUGCUAGAACAUAACUGACGCUGAUGCGCGAAAGCGUGGGGAGCGAACAGGAUUAGAUACCCCAGUAGUC
RNAcentral lists this ribosomal RNA (440 nucleotides) under uncultured bacterium. Its description in RNAcentral is "partial 16S ribosomal RNA". It matches the Rfam family "Bacterial small subunit ribosomal RNA", at positions 338 to 795 of the family's 1533-position model. The record is from RNAcentral.